AGUGGCGGACGGGUGAGUAACGCGUGGGUAACCUGCCUCAUACAGGGGGAUAACAGUUAGAAAUGACUGCUAAUACCGCAUAAGACCACAGCACCGCAUGGUGCAGGGGUAAAAACUCCGGUGGUAUGAGAUGGACCCGCGUCUGAUUAGGUAGUUGGUGGGGUAACGGCCUACCAAGCCGACGAUCAGUAGCCGACCUGAGAGGGUGACCGGCCACACUGGGACUGAGACACGGUCCAA
Molecule: ribosomal RNA, 240 nt
Filed under: uncultured bacterium
Lineage: Bacteria
Description: partial 16S ribosomal RNA
Rfam family: Bacterial small subunit ribosomal RNA
Source: RNAcentral